RNAcentral lists this ribosomal RNA (433 nucleotides) under uncultured bacterium. Its description in RNAcentral is "bacterial SSU rRNA". It matches the Rfam family "Bacterial small subunit ribosomal RNA", at positions 355 to 786 of the family's 1533-position model. The record is from RNAcentral.
UGAGGAAUAUUGGUCAAUGGGCGAGAGCCUGAACCAGCCAAGUCGCGCGAGGGAAGACGGUCCUACGGAUUGUAAACCUCUUUUGUCGGGGAGCAAUAAAGCGUACGCGUACGCAGAUGCGAGUACCCGAAGAAAAGCAUCGGCUAACUCCGUGCCAGCAGCCGCGGUAAUACGGAGGAUGCGAGCGUUAUCCGGAUUUAUUGGGUUUAAAGGGUGCGCAGGCGGAAAGUGCAAGUCAGCGGUCAAACGACGGGGCUCAACCCCGUCUCGCCGUUGAAACUGUCUUUCUAGAGUGAGCGAGAAGUAUGCGGAAUGCGUGGUGUAGCGGUGAAAUGCAUAGAUAUCACGCAGAACUCCGAUUGCGAAGGCAGCAUACCGGCGCUCAACUGACGCUCAUGCACGAAAGCGUGGGUAUCGAACAGGAUUAGAUACC